This 253-nucleotide ribosomal RNA is filed under the name uncultured bacterium. RNAcentral's name for it is "partial 16S ribosomal RNA". It matches the Rfam family "Bacterial small subunit ribosomal RNA", at positions 524 to 776 of the family's 1533-position model. The record is from RNAcentral.
UACGAAGGGUGCUAGCGUUGCUCGGAAUCACUGGGCGUAAAGCGCACGUAGGCGGACUCUUAAGUCGGUGGUGAAAUCCUGGAGCUCAACUCCAGAACUGCCUUCGAUACUGAGAGUCUCGAGUCCGGGAGAGGUGAGUGGAACUGCGAGUGUAGAGGUGAAAUUCGUAGAUAUUCGCAAGAACACCAGUGGCGAAGGCGGCUCACUGGCCCGGUACUGACGCUGAGGUGCGAAAGCGUGGGGAGCAAACAGG